This 3777-nucleotide long non-coding RNA is filed under the name Mus musculus (house mouse). Its description in RNAcentral is "long non-coding RNA chr3:9281550-9285327". Lineage: Eukaryota; Metazoa; Chordata; Mammalia; Rodentia; Muridae. The record is from RNAcentral.
AUUGGUUCUAUUUUCUUGUAUUUUUUUUUUCAUUUUAUUUGCUUCAUAACUUAAACCAAGUCUCCUCUAGUCUUAGAUAUUAUUUCUUAAUUUCGUGCUGAUAGGCAUGCUUAUAAGAACUGGAGAGGUAAUUUAUUGGAAUGAACUGACUGGCUCCCCGCCCUCCCUUCCCUUUUUGACAUGAAUUUUACUACUUCACAGAUGAAGAAUGAUGUUACAAAGUUACCAUGGUGACGCUGACAAAUACCACUAAACUGAUUAUGACUUAGAAGUAACUUUCUCCUGCUGCUCUGAUCUGAUAGAUGGUUGCUCUAUGAUGUGUUCUGACAUGGGGUCUGGUUUUUGGGGAUCUGUUACUUUGGCACUAUUCUUGUUUGCCUCUUAGUGUACUAUACCUCAGCCUUAUUUGAAAUACAGAAGUCUAAUUGAAGAAUAGUCCUAGGAAAAUACAUAAAAUGAUUUGUUUUAUAAUUCAUCCCCCAUGUCCAGUUUGGUUAGCUUGUUAUGCAAUAUAAGUGAAGUAUCAGGUUUUUUUUCUCCUGUGCCCAUUUUUAUCAUUAAAAUGAACACAAAAUGUGCAUUCUCUUUUUGUUUCAUACUUACCGGGAUGUUGAGUGUUUUUAAAUUGUAGCUGAUAAUAUAUUUUUCCAUUCCUUAAAGUCACCACACCUUGAUGAAAUCUUUAUAGUCUCCAUGAUUCAGCAAUCUACAAAAAAUACUACAAGUAAAAUGUUGAGCCUUUAUUGUUCCAUUAUCUAAAUUCCUCAGGAGUCAGAGUUCUUCACACAGUUGAGACUUAGUUUAUGUAGCCAGGUGACGGACGACUGAGCGGACAGCAGCACGCUCAGCAGCUUGUGACAGGCUAACGUGCCGUGUGUCAGGAGCAGAGCAUAUAUAUAAAAAACAGAGACACCAUAUUUUCAACUUUCUUUUAAAUACAAAUUGAGUAUAUUUUCCUAUUUUAUAUCAAGUAGCUAAAUUAUGACAGUUGUGUGGAGAAACCACAGAGCUGCUUUGACAGAUACAAUCUUUUUGGUGCUCCAUCUGUUCAAAGUUGAAAAGUUGAUUUUCUUUUUGAAAGAGACAAACUUCAUCAUUGCCUCUGAUUUCAGUAGAAUAAUGGUUUGAUAUUGGACAGUGACUUCCUGCAUGGAUAAAUCAGAGAUGAAGUAGUCAUGUUACAUGUUGAGACCCACCUAUUGCCCUCUGACUCGUAUGGCAGUCUCUGCAUCCCUUGGGGAUGGCAGAAGAGUUUCAUUCUGGUUUCUGUUUGAAAUGAAGAGAACCCCUUAUUCUCUGUGUUUGAAACAAAUGAGUGAAGUGUAAUUCUAGAAAAGUCCAAAGUAGACUAAGUUGGGCAGAGAUAUUAUGAUGAAAAAGUAUUUUAAACGUAAGAUGUUGUGCUUUGUGAAUAUGUAAGUAUAACAUAAAGAUUUCUUCCAUCCCACCUAUCCCCUUCCUUUAAAAUAAACCAUAGUUUACAAUUGGUAGAUCUGUCUAUAUAUAAAUAUAUAUUAAAGAGCAAAUAUAUAUAUUUAAAAAAAGAUCACCUAAAUCUGCUUUAUUAGACAGUAGUUCACUGUUGCGUAGAAACUGGACGUGGCUUUACAUUCUUAAUGUGCUUUAUUUUCCUCAAGAUAGGACCUUAUCUUGAAACAGAAUUUCCUUUAUUACUUAAAUCAUUUAUGUAUAUCUGGUAAAUUAUGACCAAAUUUUUGUUAGAUUGCACACAGUAAAUUGAAAUACACAUUUGGUACACUACGGAAUUGUUGUGCUUUUGUUUGGUUUCAGUUGGAAACAGGUUCGAUGGAGAUGACUUUAUUACUGUUAAUUUAAAUAGUCUAUAAUUGUCCGUUGCCUUUUAUGUCGUGUUGUGACAGAUUUGGCUAUAUUUUUAGUCAUCUGAAAUAUACUUUAAAAAGUUUGUUUUUAGGUAAUCCAAAGGAAAAAUGUUUAUACUCUUGAAUAUAUAUUUGCCUCAGCCUAUAUUAAAGUUUCUUUGAAGUAAACACUUUACCAGAAACAGAAUUGACAGAUUUUUCUACUUGCUGACUGCCUAAGUUAUUUUGUUUCAUGGUCUUGAGAAUUGCCUUUUCUCUAGACCUUUUUUUAAAAGUAGUUUUAGUACUAAGGUAUACUACUGGACGCUCCUAUUUUUUUAAGUAUAUUCCUUUUCUGACAGUACAACUUCAGGAAGUUGAUAAAUCUCUAAGAAGUUUUGAUUGGUCUCAGAAAGGUAAUGGAUUGAAUACUCAGAAUUUUGUCUGAAAGUCUGGCAGAGUUGUACAUUUGGUGAAGUUUUUCAUGUAAUUUAUAUUUUAAAUAAAAUAUUUUUAGAGUUUUUAAUUUUAAUGAAGGGGAAGAACAUACACUUUCAUAUUCCACAGUGGUAAUGAUACUAUGUCAUAGGUUCAGAUCAUGUGUUAUUCUCCCAGACAGUUUCUUCCAUAUGGUCUCUCAUUUGUCAAGGUUCUUGACUCAAUUUUUUUACUAGACAAGUUGCUAAAUUUUAGCACCCUACAAGAGCUCUGUGUGUGUGUGUGUGUGUGUGUGUGUGUGUGUGUGUGUGUGUAGUGCUGGAAGAGGAAACUGGACAAUAGCUAGUAGCUGAAUUUGGGGGCAAAUGCUAUUUGGCUUAAGUAGAGCCAUCCUAAUAAAGAGUGAGUUAAUUCAUUGCAGAAAAACUCAAGCACAGUAAGUACACAGUGCAUAUUAGUUGUUUAAUAACAAAUGUGAACCAAGAGAAGAAGUAAAAGCUGGUAGGAAGGGAUAAAUCAGGGAAGUGAGGGGCCGGGACUUGCAAAGGGCCCCAAGGAUGAGGAGUGGGUGUGGGAGGCCUGACAGGAAGGAAGCUCUGGGAAACAUGGAGUAAGAGAUGUAGUUCUUUGGUUUAUGACUCAAACUUUCUGGUAUGCCCACACUUUUGUGUUGUCUGCCUUACUUUAACCUAUAAGGUAGGUGCUAUUCUAUUUUACAAAUAAGGAAAGGCUCAGAGAGAUUCAGACACUUGCCUAAAUGACCGCAGCUUUCUGUGGAGCGGGGAUUAGUCAGGUCUGGUUCGAAGCCCUGAUUUCCUCCCUGUGAGAUGCUCUGUUAGGAGUCCUGUUCUCUUUGGAAGUUGCUUUUGUCACUUUUGACUCAAGCACACCUCACUGCCAUCCUCUGUGAGUGGCUGGGAUAGUUUCACUUAAUUUUAAAAGGAUGGUUUUACAAUAUGAAGAAGUAGAUAGAAGCCCCAGCUUGUGUGCCGUUCACACCCGGAUCCUUAAGCUUAACUAUGGUACCCAAUCUACACAGUUAGAACUAACAGGUGUUUUCUUAGUUUAGGAUUUAAAGUAGGAUUAUUUAUUUUGUUUCUUCCCUAUCUGCUGUAUCCCAGUCUUCAAGUGAAGUUGAACUAGGUAGUUUAAAACAUGUUAGGGAUAAGCACACUUUGAAAGAUGUUUUCUUGCCCUGAAUUUGAGGGCACUGGGCAGUAAAUUUGGAAUACACUAGCUAUUGAGAACAAAAUUUGGGGGUUAAGAAAGGGAUGAUUGAGGCCAUUAUGAUCUGGGAGAAGCAGCAUCCUAAACACUGUAAACAACUCUUCUGCCUGCUGUUUGUAAAAGCUCUCUGGCAAGAUCUUUUACAAAGACCAAUUUUCUUUUUUAAAUGUAAUUUACCUACCUAAUAUUUAAAUGUCCUGAGACAUGUAUGUAAACUUCCAAAACCUGUUUGUCUGUGUAUUUAGAAAAUACACAAGAAUCUUUAUCAAACAUAAAAUAUAAACUUGUGAGC